GUCGCGUUCCUCGGAAUUGGAGCGUAAAGUGGGUGGUAAAUUUCAUCUAAAGCUAAAUAUAGGCUUGAGACCGAUAGCAAACAAGUACCAUGAGGGAAAGAUGAAAAGGACUUUGAAAAGAGAGUUAAAAGUGCUUGAAAUCGCUGAAAGGGAAGCGAAUGGAACCAGUCUUCUGGCUGAGAUUGUUGCGUGCUACUGUGAUGCCUGGCUGCUUCAACGCAAGUGUGGCAGUUAGAGUUGAUCAGCUGUGCGUGAUGUUUCUCAGCUUGUUAGUCAACCUUUGUUCGUGCUUGGGGAUAACUGCGGGUUCCAUGUUCUUCUCUGCGGAGUUGAGCUCGUGCCUGUAAGGACUCAGGUGUGUACAAUUGGUGACAAAAUGGUUCUCUUCGACCCGUCUUGAAACACGGACCAAGGAGUCUAGCACAUGUGCAAGUUCACAGGUGGCAAGCCUGCUUGCGCAAUGAAGGUGACUGCUGGGAUAUUUGCACCAGCAACCGACCAAUCAAUNGAGAGAAGUUUGAGUAUGAGCAUAUGUGUUAGG
RNAcentral lists this ribosomal RNA (541 nucleotides) under Pelagodinium bei. RNAcentral's name for it is "eukaryotic LSU rRNA". It matches the Rfam family "Eukaryotic large subunit ribosomal RNA", at positions 264 to 813 of the family's 3401-position model. Lineage: Eukaryota; Dinophyceae; Suessiales; Suessiaceae. The record is from RNAcentral.